UGGGGAAUAUUGCGCAAUGGGCGAAAGCCUGACGCAGCGACGCCGCGUGAGGGAUGAAGGUUUUCGGAUCGUAAACCUCUGUCAGAAGGGAAGAAACCGCACUGUGCUAAUCAGCAGUGCCUUGACGGUACCUUCAAAGGAAGCACCGGCUAACUCCGUGCCAGCAGCCGCGGUAAUACGGAGGGUGCAAGCGUUAAUCGGAAUUACUGGGCGUAAAGCGCACGUAGGCUGCUUUGUAAGUCAGGGGUGAAAUCCCACGGCUCAACCGUGGAACUGCCUUUGAUACUGCUGAGCUUGAAUCCGGGAGAGGGUGGCGGAAUUCCAGGUGUAGGAGUGAAAUCCGUAGAUAUCUGGAGGAACAUCAGUGGCGAAGGCGGCCACCUGGACCGGUAUUGACGCUGAGGUGCGAAAGCGUGGGGAGCAAACAGG
RNAcentral lists this ribosomal RNA (429 nucleotides) under Fusobacteriota bacterium. RNAcentral describes it as "Fusobacteria bacterium partial 16S ribosomal RNA". It matches the Rfam family "Bacterial small subunit ribosomal RNA", at positions 355 to 776 of the family's 1533-position model. The record is from RNAcentral. Lineage: Bacteria; Fusobacteriati; Fusobacteriota.